GSSUGGAAUCGGCAGAGAUGCCUUAGUGCCUUCGGGAACCGUGAGACAGGUGCUGCAUGGCUGUCGUCAGCUCGUGAGKGAAAUGUUGGGUUAAGUCCCGCAACGAGCGCAACCCUUAUCYUUUGUUGCCAGCGGUCCGGCCGGGAACUCAAAGGAGACUGCCAGUGAUAAACUGGAGGAAGGUGGGGAUGACGUCAAGUCAUCAUGGCCCUUACGACCAGGGCUACACACGUGCUACAAUGGCGCAUACAAAGAGAAGCGACCUCGCGAGAGCAAGCGGACCUCAUAAAGUGCGUCGUAGUCCGGAUUGGAGUCUGCAACUCGACUCCAUGAAGUCGGAAUCGCUAGUAAUCGUGGAUCAGAAUGCCACGGUGAAUACGUUCCCGGGUCUUGUACACACCGA
RNAcentral lists this ribosomal RNA (403 nucleotides) under Citrobacter sp. 67(2012). Its description in RNAcentral is "bacterial SSU rRNA". It matches the Rfam family "Bacterial small subunit ribosomal RNA", at positions 989 to 1393 of the family's 1533-position model. The record is from RNAcentral. Lineage: Bacteria; Pseudomonadati; Pseudomonadota; Gammaproteobacteria; Enterobacterales; Enterobacteriaceae.